GAUGAACGCUGGCGGCGUGCCUAAUACAUGCAAGUCGAGCGAACAGAUAAGGAGCUUGCUCCUUUGACGUUAGCGGCGGACGGGUGAGUAACACGUGGGUAACCUACCUAUAAGACUGGAAUAACUUCGGGAAACCGGGGCUAAUGCCGGAUAACAUUUAGAACCGCAUGGUUCUAUAGUGAAAGAUGGUUUUGCUAUCACUUAUAGAUGGAUCCGCGCCGUAUUAGCUAGUUGGUAAGGUAACGGCUUACCAAGGCAACGAUACGUAGCCGACCUGAGAGGGUGAUCGGCCACACUGGAACUGAGACACGGUCCAGACUCCUACGGGAGGCAGCAGUAGGGAAUCUUCCGCAAUGGGCGAAAGCCUGACGGAGCAACGCCGCGUGAGUGAUGAAGGUCUUCGGAUCGUAAAACUCUGUUAUCAGGGAAGAACAAAUGUGUAAGUAACUGUGCACGUCUUGACGGUACCUAAUCAGAAAGCCACGGCUAACUACGUG
RNAcentral lists this ribosomal RNA (497 nucleotides) under uncultured bacterium. RNAcentral describes it as "partial 16S ribosomal RNA". It matches the Rfam family "Bacterial small subunit ribosomal RNA", at positions 28 to 507 of the family's 1533-position model. The record is from RNAcentral.